AGUGGCGCACGGGUGAGUAGCGCGUGGGUAACCUACCCUGAAGUUGGGAAUAACACCUCGAAAGGGGUGCUAAUACCGAAUGAUGUCCCUCCUGACAAAGAUGCGCUUUAGGAUGAGCCCGCGUACCAUUAGCUAGUUGGUGGGGUAAUGGCCCACCAAGGCCAUGAUGGUUAGCUGGUCUGAGAGGAUGGCCAGCCACACUGGAACUGAGAUACGGUCCAGACUCCUACGGGAGGCAGCAGUGAGGAAUCUUGCGCAAUGGGGGAAACCCUGACGCAGCAACGCCGCGUGAGUGAUGAAGGCCUUCGGGUCGUAAAGCUCUGUCAGAUGGGAAGAAUGACGGUACCGUCAGAGGAAGCACCGGCUAACUCCGUGCCAGCAGCCGCGGUAAUACGGAGGGUGCAAGCGUUGUUCGGAAUCAUUGGGCGUAAAGAGCGUGUAGGCGGUCGGGUAAGUCAGAUGUGAAAUCCCUUGGCUUAACCAAGGAAGGGCAUUUGAAAC
This 501-nucleotide ribosomal RNA is filed under the name uncultured soil bacterium. Its description in RNAcentral is "bacterial SSU rRNA". It matches the Rfam family "Bacterial small subunit ribosomal RNA", at positions 94 to 633 of the family's 1533-position model. The record is from RNAcentral.